UUGAACGCUGGCGGCAUGCCUUACACAUGCAAGUCGAACGGCAGCACGGGGGCAACCCUGGUGGCGAGUGGCGAACGGGUGAGUAAUACAUCGGAACGUGUCCUGUAGUGGGGGAUAGCCCGGCGAAAGCCGGAUUAAUACCGCAUACGAUCUACGGAAGAAAGCGGGGGAUCCUUCGGGACCUCGCGCUAUAGGGGCGGCCGAUGGCAGAUUAGCUAGUUGGUGGGGUAAAGGCCUACCAAGGCGACGAUCUGUAGCUG
RNAcentral lists this ribosomal RNA (260 nucleotides) under Burkholderia sp. ISO261_OTU58. Its description in RNAcentral is "partial 16S ribosomal RNA". It matches the Rfam family "Bacterial small subunit ribosomal RNA", at positions 30 to 289 of the family's 1533-position model. RNAcentral also lists the same sequence under 14 other names. The record is from RNAcentral. Lineage: Bacteria; Pseudomonadati; Pseudomonadota; Betaproteobacteria; Burkholderiales; Burkholderiaceae.